This 301-nucleotide ribosomal RNA is filed under the name uncultured bacterium. Its description in RNAcentral is "partial 16S ribosomal RNA". It matches the Rfam family "Bacterial small subunit ribosomal RNA", at positions 509 to 807 of the family's 1533-position model. The record is from RNAcentral.
CAGUAGCCGCGGGAAUACGUAGGGUGCGAGCGUUGUCCGGAAUUACUGGGCGUAAAGAGCUCGUAGGCGGUUUGUCGCGUCGUCUGUGAAAUUCUGCAGCUUAACUGUAGGCGUGCAGGCGAUACGGGCAGACUUGAGUACUACAGGGGAGACUGGAAUUCCUGGUGUAGCGGUGAAAUGCGCAGAUAUCAGGAGGAACACCGGUGGCGAAGGCGGGUCUCUGGGUAGUAACUGACGCUGAGGAGCGAAAGCGUGGGUAGCGAACAGGAUUAGAUACCCCCGUAGUCCCUGUCUCUUAUAC